CCCCAUUCAUUUUAUGCUGUUGUGUUUCAUUCAUUAGUUACAACCUACUGAUCCUACUUAUGCUACUAAUACCACUGAAUAUGAUACUUCAGCAGCUGCUUCUACUGUAAGGACACUACAAGGAGGAGAUGGACCAUCUUCUUAUUCACCACCACCUCCUACUGGUCAGUACAGUGUUCUUAGAGCCAGUGAUGAUGAUGAUGAUACUCCCCCACCAGUACCAGCCUAUAAUCCUAAUGGAGUACAAGAAUACUCUGAACUGAAGAGAGAGGGAGAGAAUAAGGGUCAACAGGGUCUGUCUACUGGUGCUACUGGACUAUAUUCAACCAUUAAUAAAAACACCAACAACCA
Long non-coding RNA from Amphimedon queenslandica, 351 nucleotides. RefSeq lists it as uncharacterized. NCBI's taxonomy places the organism in Eukaryota, Metazoa, Porifera, Demospongiae, Haplosclerida, Niphatidae. The transcript is spliced from 3 exons. The record is from RefSeq and is a predicted model, not a curated record.